AAGAAAUGAGAAAUGAAUUGGUUGAGUAUAUGAAGUUUUGGCAUUAUGCUUAGUAUAUAAAUUUGGUAUGUUUGGUUCGGCAAUUGAGCUUAAAAAUAGCUAUUGUUAUUCUGGUGAAUUGCACAUAAAUUAGUAGUAUCAAAAGUAUAUUUGGCCAUGUUGUAAUGUUAGCUAUUGUCUUAUAAGCUAAUGAAUAAUAUUCC
RNAcentral lists this long non-coding RNA (203 nucleotides) under Gossypium raimondii (Peruvian cotton). RNAcentral's name for it is "long non-coding RNA (GRAI_LNC002692)". The record is from RNAcentral. Lineage: Eukaryota; Viridiplantae; Streptophyta; Magnoliopsida; Malvales; Malvaceae.